This is a long non-coding RNA of Clupea harengus (Atlantic herring), 280 nucleotides long. RefSeq lists it as uncharacterized. Lineage: Eukaryota; Metazoa; Chordata; Actinopteri; Clupeiformes; Clupeidae. The record is from RefSeq and is a predicted model, not a curated record. The transcript has 3 exons.
AUAGGAGACAAUCUAGUGACUACAAAUGAAUUCAUUAUACCUUGGCGUUUGUCUCACCCCAACAUCGUACGAAUGAUUGCUGUAGCCAGAAGUGAGACACACGUCCUCAUUGCUAAUGAGUAUAUCCAUGGUGCCAACUUGCAGGAGGUUCUUCACAAAGACACUCCUAUCAAGUUGCAGGACGAGGACAAGCUGUUUGUGGCUUUAGAUAUUGCCAUGGCUGUUGAGUACAUACAUGGAAAAACAAUCAUCCACCAAGAUCUGAAGCCAGCAAAUAUAA